RNAcentral lists this ribosomal RNA (497 nucleotides) under uncultured bacterium. RNAcentral describes it as "partial 16S ribosomal RNA". It matches the Rfam family "Bacterial small subunit ribosomal RNA", at positions 28 to 507 of the family's 1533-position model. The record is from RNAcentral.
GAUGAACGCUGGCGGCGUGCCUAAUACAUGCAAGUCGAGCGAACAGACGAGGAGCUUGCUCCUCUGACGUUAGCGGCGGACGGGUGAGUAACACGUGGAUAACCUACCUAUAAUACUGGGAUCACUUCGGGAAACCGGAGCUAAUACCGGAUAAUAUAUUGAACCGCAUGGUUCAAUAGUGAAAGUCGGUUUUGCUGUCACUUAUAGAUGGAUCCGCGCCGCAUUAGCUAGUUGGUAAGGUAACGGCUUACCAAGGCAACGAUGCGUAGCCGACCUGAGAGGGUGAUCGGCCACACUGGAACUGAGACACGGUCCAGACUCCUACGGGAGGCAGCAGUAGGGAAUCUUCCGCAAUGGGCGAAAGCCUGACGGAGCAACGCCGCGUGAGUGAUGAAGGUCUUUGGAUCGUAAAACUCUGUUAUUAGGGAAGAACAAAUGUGUAAGUAACUAUGCACGUCUUGACGGUACCUAAUCAGAAAGCCACGGCUAACUACGUG